This 440-nucleotide ribosomal RNA is filed under the name uncultured bacterium. Its description in RNAcentral is "bacterial SSU rRNA". It matches the Rfam family "Bacterial small subunit ribosomal RNA", at positions 958 to 1398 of the family's 1533-position model. The record is from RNAcentral.
AACGCGAAGAACCUUACCCAGGUUUGAAAAGCAGAGCAAUUAGGCUGAAAGGUCUAAGCCCGCAAGGGGCUCUGUACAGGUGCUGCAUGGCUGUCGUCAGCUCGUGCCGUGAGGUGUUGGGUUAAGUCCCGCAACGAGCGCAACCCUUAUCAUUAGUUGCCAACACGUAAAGGUGGGGAAUCUAAUGAGACUGCCUAGGUUAACUAGGAGGAAGGUGAGGAUGACGUCAAGUCCGCAUGGCCUUUAUACCUGGGGCUACACACGUGCUACAAUGGUCGGUACAGAAGGCAGCAAGACCGCAAGGUGGAGCAAAUCCCAAAAGCCGACCCCAGUUCAGAUUGUAGUCUGCAACUCGACUACAUGAAGCCGGAAUUGCUAGUAAUGACGCGUCAGCAACAGCGUCGUGAAUACGUUCCCGGGCCUUGUACACACCGCUCGUC